AAGAGACAGCAGCCGCCGCGGGAAUACGUAGGUGGCAAGCGUUGUCCGGAAUUAUUGGGCGUAAAGGGCUCGCAGGCGGUUUCUUAAGUCUGAUGUGAAAGCCCCCGGCUCAACCGGGGAGGGUCAUUGGAAACUGGGAAACUUGAGUGCAGAAGAGGAGAGUGGAAUUCCACGUGUAGCGGUGAAAUGUGUAGAGAUGUGGAGGAACACCAGUGGCGAAGGCGACUCUCUGGUCUGUAACUGACGCUGAGGAGCGAAAGCGUGGGGAGCGAACAGGAUUAGAUACCCCAGUAGUCCCUGUCUCUUAUAC
RNAcentral lists this ribosomal RNA (310 nucleotides) under uncultured bacterium. RNAcentral describes it as "partial 16S ribosomal RNA". It matches the Rfam family "Bacterial small subunit ribosomal RNA", at positions 503 to 807 of the family's 1533-position model. The record is from RNAcentral.